Molecule: small nuclear RNA, 133 nt
Organism: Sciurus vulgaris (Eurasian red squirrel)
Lineage: Eukaryota; Metazoa; Chordata; Mammalia; Rodentia; Sciuridae
Source: Ensembl
AAAAAGGGCUUCUGUCUGAGUGGCACACAGAAGGCAACUCGAUAGCUCUUCAUGCAGAACCAACAUCAAGAGAUUUUGGGAGGAUAAUUUUGUGGUACUUGGGCAGCUGGUGAUCAUUGGUCCCAGCACUCUU